CGCAGCCCUUCUUGGGCGUUUCCUCCCUAGACUUGGGCCGGUCACCUUGGUGUAUCGGCCCUUUUUUCUUUUU
This 73-nucleotide small RNA is filed under the name uncultured Aestuariivirga sp. RNAcentral describes it as "Makes More Granules Regulator RNA (mmgR)". It matches the Rfam family "Makes More Granules Regulator RNA (mmgR)", at positions 8 to 72 of the family's 77-position model. From Rfam's summary of the family: SuhB later renamed mmgR (makes more granules regulator) was a putative non-coding RNA found multiple times in the Agrobacterium tumefaciens genome and related alpha-proteobacteria. Other non-coding RNAs uncovered in the same analysis include: speF, ybhL, metA, and serC. Several studies inSinorhizobium meliloti showed that suhB element is indeed a non-coding RNA:firstly it was detected on Northern blot and called Sm8RNA, secondly in an RNAseq study referred to as SmelC689. Lineage: Bacteria; Pseudomonadati; Pseudomonadota; Alphaproteobacteria; Hyphomicrobiales; Aestuariivirgaceae. The record is from RNAcentral.